GGCACAGUGGCCAAGCAGAAAGGCGUCGGUCUUGUAAACUGAAGAUCAUGGGUUCAACCCCCAUCAGUGUCU
Gymnothorax javanicus (giant moray) is the source of this 72-nucleotide non-coding RNA. Lineage: Eukaryota; Metazoa; Chordata; Actinopteri; Anguilliformes; Muraenidae. The record is from the annotation of a GenBank genome assembly.